RNAcentral lists this ribosomal RNA (476 nucleotides) under uncultured organism. RNAcentral describes it as "partial 16S ribosomal RNA". It matches the Rfam family "Bacterial small subunit ribosomal RNA", at positions 332 to 799 of the family's 1533-position model. The record is from RNAcentral.
UACACUCCUGCGGGAGGCAGCAGUGGGGAAUUUUGGACAAUGGGCGAAAGCCUGAUCCAGCAAUGCCGCGUGAGUGAAGAAGGCCUUCGGGUUGUAAAGCUCUUUUGUCAGGGAAGAAACGGUGAAAGCUAAUAUCUUUUGCUAAUGACGGUACCUGAAGAAUAAGCACCGGCUAACUACGUGCCAGCAGCCGCGGUAAUACGUAGGGUGCAAGCGUUAAUCGGAAUUACUGGGCGUAAAGCGUGCGCAGGCGGUUUUGUAAGUCUGAUGUGAAAUCCCCGGGCUCAACCUGGGAAUUGCAUUGGAGACUGCAAGGCUAGAAUCUGGCAGAGGGGGGUAGAAUUCCACGUGUAGCAGUGAAAUGCGUAGAUAUGUGGAGGAACACCGAUGGCGAAGGCAGCCCCCUGGGUCAAGAUUGACGCUCAUGCACGAAAGCGUGGGGAGCAAACAGGAUUAGAUACCCCGGUAGUCCCAUG